AUGAACGCUGGCGGCGUGCCUAAUACAUGCAAGUCGCGCGAACAGACGAGGAGCUUGCUCCUCUGACGUUAGCGGCGGACGGGUGAGUAACACGUGGAUAACCUACCUAUAAGACUGGGAUAACUUCGGGAAACCGGAGCUAAUACCGGAUAAUAUAUUGAACCGCAUGGUUCAAUAGUGAAAGGCGGUUUUGCUGUCACUUAUAGAUGGAUCCGCGCCGCAUUAGCUAGUUGGUAAGGUAACGGCUUACCAAGGCAACGAUGCGUAGCCGACCUGAGAGGGUGAUCGGCCACACUGGAACUGAGACACGGUCCAGACUCCUACGGGAGGCAGCAGUAGGGAAUCUUCCGCAAUGGGCGAAAGCCUGACGGAGCAACGCCGCGUGAGUGAUGAAGGUCUUCGGAUCGUAAAACUCUGUUAUUAGGGAAGAACAAAUGUGUAAGUAACUAUGCACGUCUUGACGGUACCUAAUCAGAAAGCCACGGCUAACUACGUG
RNAcentral lists this ribosomal RNA (496 nucleotides) under uncultured bacterium. RNAcentral's name for it is "partial 16S ribosomal RNA". It matches the Rfam family "Bacterial small subunit ribosomal RNA", at positions 29 to 507 of the family's 1533-position model. The record is from RNAcentral.